GGCUUAACACAUGCAAGUCGAACGCCGUAGCAAUACGGAGUGGCAGACGGGUGAGUAACGCGUGGGAACGUGCCUUUUGGUUCGGGACAACUGAGGGAAACUUCAGCUAAUACCGGAUAAGCCCCGAGGGGGAAAGAUUUAUCGCCAAAAGAUCGGCCCGCGUCAGAUUAGGUAGUUGGUGGGGUAAUGGCCUACCAAGCCGAUGAUCUGUAGGUGGUCUGAGAGGAUGAUCACCCACACUGGGACUGAGACACGGCCCAGACUCCUACGGGAGGCAGCAGUGGGGAAUAUUGGACAAUGGGGGAAACCCUGAUCCAGCCAUGCCGCGUGGUUGUUUAAGGCCCUAGGGUUGUAAAGUCC
RNAcentral lists this ribosomal RNA (360 nucleotides) under uncultured organism. Its description in RNAcentral is "bacterial SSU rRNA". It matches the Rfam family "Bacterial small subunit ribosomal RNA", at positions 45 to 433 of the family's 1533-position model. The record is from RNAcentral.